RNAcentral lists this ribosomal RNA (380 nucleotides) under Babesia bigemina. RNAcentral describes it as "partial small subunit ribosomal RNA". It matches the Rfam family "Eukaryotic small subunit ribosomal RNA", at positions 439 to 889 of the family's 1831-position model. The record is from RNAcentral. Lineage: Eukaryota; Apicomplexa; Aconoidasida; Piroplasmida; Babesiidae.
ACUGACAUAGAUUGACACAGGGGGAUAGUGACAAGAAAUAACAAUACAGGGCUUUCGUCUUGUAAUUGGAAUGAUGGUGAUGUACAACCUCACCAGAGUACCAAUUGGAGGGCAAGUCUGGUGCCAGCAGCCGCGGUAAUUCCAGCUCCAAUAGCGUAUAUUAAACUUGUUGCAGUUAAAAAGCUUGUAGUUGUAUUUCAGCCUCGCGUUUUUUCCCUUGUUUUGGGUCUUUUCGCUGGCUUUUUUUUUACUUUGAGAAAAUUAGAGUGUUUCAAGCAGACUUUUGUCUUGAAUACUUCAGCAUGGAAUAAUAGAGUAGGACCUUGGUUCUAUUUUGUUGGUUUUGAGCCUUGGUAAUGGUAAUAGGAACGGUAGUCAAA